RNAcentral lists this ribosomal RNA (1047 nucleotides) under Enterococcus faecalis. RNAcentral's name for it is "partial 23S ribosomal RNA". It matches the Rfam family "Bacterial large subunit ribosomal RNA", at positions 411 to 1461 of the family's 2925-position model. Lineage: Bacteria; Bacillati; Bacillota; Bacilli; Lactobacillales; Enterococcaceae. The record is from RNAcentral.
AGUACGGCGGAACACGAGAAAUUCCGUCGGAAUCCGCGGGGACCAUCCCGCAAGGCUAAAUACUCCCUAGUGACCGAUAGUGAACCAGUACCGUGAGGGAAAGGUGAAAAGCACCCCGGAAGGGGAGUGAAAUAGAUCCUGAAACCGUGUGCCUACAACAAGUCAAAGCUCGUUAAUGAGUGAUGGCGUGCCUUUUGUAGAAUGAACCGGCGAGUUACGAUUGCAUGCGAGGUUAAGUCGAAGAGACGGAGCCGCAGCGAAAGCGAGUCUGAAUAGGGCGAAUGAGUAUGUAGUCGUAGACCCGAAACCAUGUGAUCUACCCAUGUCCAGGUUGAAGGUGCGGUAAAACGCACUGGAGGACCGAACCCACGUACGUUGAAAAGUGCGGGGAUGAGGUGUGGGUAGCGGAGAAAUUCCAAACGAACUUGGAGAUAGCUGGUUCUCUCCGAAAUAGCUUUAGGGCUAGCCUCGGAAUUGAGAAUGAUGGAGGUAGAGCACUGUUUGGACUAGGGGCCCAUCUCGGGUUACCGAAUUCAGAUAAACUCCGAAUGCCAUUCAUUUAUAUCCGGGAGUCAGACUGCGAGUGAUAAGAUCCGUAGUCGAAAGGGAAACAGCCCAGACCACCAGCUAAGGUCCCAAAAUAUAUGUUAAGUGGAAAAGGAUGUGGGGUUGCACAGACAACUAGGAUGUUGGCUUAGAAGCAGCCACCAUUUAAAGAGUGCGUAAUAGCUCACUAGUCGAGUGACCCUGCGCCGAAAAUGUACCGGGGCUAAACAUAUUACCGAAGCUGUGGACUACACCAUUAGGUGUAGUGGUAGGAGAGCGUUCUAAGGGCGUUGAAGGUCGAUCGUGAGGACGGCUGGAGCGCUUAGAAGUGAGAAUGCCGGUAUGAGUAGCGAAAGACAGGUGAGAAUCCUGUCCACCGUAUGACUAAGGUUUCCUGGGGAAGGCUCGUCCGCCCAGGGUUAGUCGGGACCUAAGCCGAGGCCGAUAGGCGUAGGCGAUGGACAACAGGUUGAUAUUCCUGUACCAGUUGUUUUUGUUUGA